Molecule: ribosomal RNA, 411 nt
Filed under: Verrucomicrobiota bacterium
Lineage: Bacteria; Pseudomonadati; Verrucomicrobiota
Description: Verrucomicrobia bacterium partial 16S ribosomal RNA
Rfam family: Bacterial small subunit ribosomal RNA
Source: RNAcentral
UGGGGAAUAUUGCGCAAUGGGGGAAACCCUGACGCAGCGACGCCGCGUGCGGGAUGAAGGCCUUCGGGUUGUAAACCGCUUUUGAUUGGGAGCAAGCUUUCGGGUGAGUGUACCUUUCGAAUAAGCGCCGGCUAACUACGUGCCAGCAGCCGCGGUAAUACGUAGGGCGCAAGCGUUAUCCGGAAUUAUUGGGCGUAAAGAGCUUGUAGGCGGUUCGUCGCGUCUGGUGUGAAUGCCCAUCGCUUAACGGUGGGUUUGCGCCGGGUACGGGCGGGCUAGCGUGCGGUAGGGGAGACUGGAAUUCCCGGUGUAACGGUGGAAUGUGUAGAUAUCGGGAAGAACACCAAUGGCGAAGGCAGGUCUCUGGGCUGUUACUGACGCUGAGAAGCGAAAGCGUGGGGAGCGAACAGG